Drosophila melanogaster (fruit fly) is the source of this 1833-nucleotide non-coding RNA. The record is from Ensembl. NCBI's taxonomy places the organism in Eukaryota, Metazoa, Arthropoda, Insecta, Diptera, Drosophilidae.
CUCUCUGGCUUGCGGCAGUUUUCCAGAGGCUGUGACUCAGUAAGCAUUUCUUGUUGUUACCCUAACGAUAAGCGUCCGAUUCCUAAUUCUCUUUCAAAUAAUUUGUUUUAUUUUUUUUUUUGUGUGUUUUGAAGUCAAACAGCUUCAUAAACAAUAUUAAAUAUCGCAAUUGUUAUUGCAAAUGCAUUCGUAUCAGGCGCCUUGAUGUUUUUCGCCAAAACUUCGUCUGCUCUUUGUCAGCGUAAUUGCGUUUGCCGGUCGUGCCGUCUUGCUCGCACGCGGCUUGCAAACAAAAAGUGAAAGAGGGAAAGCCACCUGUGUUGUUGCUUUUGUUGCUAUCGUUGGCUGCACACACAUGGCAAUAAGUAACCAUAUUGUAGACUUAUUUAUUUUAGCGUUUUCGUUGACUAAUCUUUGUUUAAAUAAUUGCCUAUUUCGAGCCAAAAUGACGCAUAAAAGGAAACGGCAACAUGCGGUGCGUUGAGCAUGCGUAAGCGAGAUGGCGCUAGAGAGAGCGCAGCAUAAAAAGAAAAAAACAACCGGCGAGUGGCGAGACACGAAUAAUACACACACGCACACAUGGUCAAAGGAGUGGCUCCAACGUCGGUGACGUCGCGCCCAGCCACAGACCCCGCCACGCCCCGCCCCACCCUUCCUUCCGCUGCCCCGCACCCCUUUCCUUCCACUACCGUUUUGCCGCAUUUGGUAUUGCCAUCUCGCUUUUUUGGCUUUACUUUGCUUUUUGAAUAAGCCAAGAAACUGAAAUCAAAGCGGACAGUCCGAAAAUUGAAUAUUCCAAAAAACAACAAUUGCACAUGCACUGCGUUCGGCAAAAGACGCAGAAAUUCAAGCCUUUUGGUCUGGCAUCAUCUUAAAAUAUCAUCAGUAUCAUCAUUGCCAUUAUAAAUACAUAAGAAAAUGAGAAUACAUUAAAGCUUUCUCUCUCUUUUAGUGCAACUGUUGUACAAAGGCAGGGCUAAUGACGGUGGGGGUGUGGACAGAUAGGUGUGGUGUAUUAACAAUAAUAGCGGUGGUGGUUUUCGCAGAAUUCGCCGCAUUCAGGGGAAACUUACCCCGAAAAGUGAGAUGGAGAGCGUGGAAGGACAACGGAGAAAGCACCGGUCGAAUAACGGUAAAACGCCUGCGCUGCUCUCGCCUACAGCACGUGCAAAUAUUCGCAUGCAAUAUGCCGGCCGCUCUCUUUCUCUCUCUGGAAAUAUAUGUAAUACAACUAUAUGCCUCGGAUCCCACUGGCUUUUUUGCAGGGGGAUUUGCAUCUGGAGUACUCAUUUCUACUUGGUGGUUACGGGUGCGUGCGUCAAAUUUUCUACGCAAGUGUCACGUCACAUGGGAAAGCAGCUGCGGAAUGCGGAAUCCCUCCUCCUCCACACGGAAGAUGCUAUCCGCCACUCCGGUUGCCCUAACAUCAUGCAGAUCUCCGCCAGAUCUGUUGUUCGCCUACAGGUGUGUCUGAGUGUUGUAUACUGGUAUCUUGUGUUGCCUAAGACGGUAGACAAAUCCACCUAAGGCUUGGCAGUCUGAGCCUGGCCAGGAUUUAUGCCACUGGCCGUGGAAGUGGUAGCCUCCGUUUCCUCACCGGGCAGCGUUUUGUUGAGUAUCUGGUGGAAGUGCUCCCCGAACACGGCGUGGUUGUAGGACACCAGACGACGGAACGAGGCGAUAAAUGCAACCAGCUCCUCUUGGUAGUCCGCGAAUCCUGAGGGCGGCGGCGGAAUGCUGCCAUUGGAGCGCAGUGUUACGCGCACAUAGCCAUCCAAUCGUUUGGCUGCAAGCGAUUUACGUGAAUUGAAUAUAAAAUACAUUGUAUUGCAU